CGGGGUGUGGCGCAGUUGGUAGCGCGCUUGCUUCGGGAGCAAGAGGUCGCAAGUUCAAAUCUUGUCACUCCGACCA
This 76-nucleotide transfer RNA is filed under the name Clostridium aciditolerans. Its description in RNAcentral is "tRNA-Pro". It matches the Rfam family "tRNA". From Rfam's summary of the family: Transfer RNA (tRNA) molecules are approximately 80 nucleotides in length. Their secondary structure includes four short double-helical elements and three loops (D, anti-codon, and T loops). Further hydrogen bonds mediate the characteristic L-shaped molecular structure. tRNAs have two regions of fundamental functional importance: the anti-codon, which is responsible for specific mRNA codon recognition, and the 3' end, to which the tRNAs corresponding amino acid is attached (by aminoacyl-tRNA synthetases). tRNAs cope with the degeneracy of the genetic code in two manners: having more than one tRNA (with a specific anti-codon) for a particular amino acid; and 'wobble' base-pairing, i.e. permitting non-standard base-pairing at the 3rd anti-codon position. The record is from RNAcentral. Lineage: Bacteria; Bacillati; Bacillota; Clostridia; Eubacteriales; Clostridiaceae.